GAACGCUGGCGGCGUGCCUAAUACAUGCAAGUCGAGCGCGGGAAGCGGACAAUCACCCUUCGGGGUGUGCGUCCGUGGAACGAGCGGCGGAUGGGUGAGUAUCACGUGGGCAACCUGCCUGUAAGAUUGGGAUAACUCGCGGAAACGUGAGCUAAUACCGAAUGAAGUCUUUCACCGCCUGGUGAAAGGAUGAAAGAUGGCUCUUGAGCUAUCACUUACAGAUGGGCCCGCGGCGCAUUAGCUAGUUGGUGGGGUAAAGGCCUACCAAGGCGACGAUGCGUAGCCGACCUGAGAGGGUGAUCGGCCACACUGGGACUGAGACACGGCCCAGACUCCUACGGGAGGCAGCAGUAGGGAAUCUUCCGCAAUGGACGAAAGUCUGACGGAGCAACGCCGCGUGAGUGAUGAAGGUCUUCGGAUCGUAAAAACUCUGUUGUCAGGGAAGAACAAGUUGUGUUCUAACAGGACAUGACCUUGACGGUACCUGACCAGAAAGCCCCGGCUAACUACGUGCCAGCCGCAGC
Molecule: ribosomal RNA, 524 nt
Filed under: uncultured bacterium
Lineage: Bacteria
Description: bacterial SSU rRNA
Rfam family: Bacterial small subunit ribosomal RNA
Source: RNAcentral